CCUACGGGAGGCAGCAGUGAGGAAUAUUGGUCAAUGGUCGGGAGACUGAACCAGCCAAGCCGCGUGAGGGAGGAAGGUACAGAGUAUCGUAAACCUCUUUUGCCAGGGAACAAAGGCGGGGACGUGACCCCGGGUGAGUGUACCUGACGAAAAAGCAUCGGCUAACUCCGUGCCAGCAGCCGCGGUAAUACGGGGGAUGCGAGUGUUAUCCGGAUUUAUGGGGGUAAAGGGGUGCGCAGGCGGUCUGUUAAGUCAGCGGACAAACCCCGGGGCUCAACCCCGGCCCGCCGUUGAAACUGGCAGUCUCGAGUUGGAGAGAAGUAUGCGGAAUGCGCGGUGUAGCGGUGAAAUGCAUAGAUAUCGCGCAGAACUCCGAUUGCGAAGGCAGCAUGCCGGCUCCACACUGACGCUGAGGCACGAAAGCGUGGGUAUCGAACAGGAUUAGAUACCCGUGUAGUC
Molecule: ribosomal RNA, 459 nt
Filed under: uncultured bacterium
Lineage: Bacteria
Description: partial 16S ribosomal RNA
Rfam family: Bacterial small subunit ribosomal RNA
Source: RNAcentral